This 305-nucleotide unclassified non-coding RNA is filed under the name plant metagenome. RNAcentral describes it as "partial contains 5.8S ribosomal RNA, internal transcribed spacer 2, and large subunit ribosomal RNA". The stretch from base 1 to 105 matches the Rfam family "5.8S ribosomal RNA", at positions 50 to 154 of the family's 154-position model. The record is from RNAcentral.
GAAAUGCGAUAAGUAAUGUGAAUUGCAGAAUUCAGUGAAUCAUCGAAUCUUUGAACGCACAUUGCGCCCGCCAGUAUUCUGGCGGGCAUGCCUGUUCGAGCGUCAUUUCAACCAUCAAGCCCCGGGCUUGUGUUGGGGACCUGCGGCUGCCGCAGGCCCUGAAAACCAGUGGCGGGCUCGCUGUCACACCGAGCGUAGUAGAUUCUCAUCUCGCUCAGGGCGUGCUGCGGGUUCCGGCCGUAAAACAGCCUUAUUUUACCCAAGGUUGACCUCGCAUCAGGUAGGAAGACCCGCUGAACUUAAGC